RNAcentral lists this transfer RNA (77 nucleotides) under Nitrososphaerota archaeon. Its description in RNAcentral is "tRNA-Trp". It matches the Rfam family "tRNA". Rfam says of the family: Transfer RNA (tRNA) molecules are approximately 80 nucleotides in length. Their secondary structure includes four short double-helical elements and three loops (D, anti-codon, and T loops). Further hydrogen bonds mediate the characteristic L-shaped molecular structure. tRNAs have two regions of fundamental functional importance: the anti-codon, which is responsible for specific mRNA codon recognition, and the 3' end, to which the tRNAs corresponding amino acid is attached (by aminoacyl-tRNA synthetases). tRNAs cope with the degeneracy of the genetic code in two manners: having more than one tRNA (with a specific anti-codon) for a particular amino acid; and 'wobble' base-pairing, i.e. permitting non-standard base-pairing at the 3rd anti-codon position. The record is from RNAcentral. Lineage: Archaea; Thermoproteati; Nitrososphaerota. RNAcentral also lists the same sequence under 3 other names.
GGGGCCGUGGUCUAGCAAGGUAGGACGACGGGCUCCAGACCCGUUGGUCGGGGGUUCAAGUCCCCCCGGCCCCACCA